GAUGAACGCUAGCUACAGGCUUAACACAUGCAAGUCGAGGGGAAACGACAUCGAAUGCUUGCUUUUGAUGGGCGCGGACGGGCGCGCGGGUGAGUAACGAGUAUCCAACCUGCCCACGACUUGGGGAGAACCCUGCGACAGUAAGACUAAUACACAAUGACGUCCCUAGAAGACAUCUGAAAGAGACUAAAGAUUUAUCGGUGAUGGAUGGGGAUGCGUCUGAUUAGCUUGUUGGCGGGGUAACGGCCCACGAAGGCGACGAUCAGUAGGGGUUCUGAGAGGAGGGUCCCUGAGAUUGGAACUGGGACACGGUCCAAACGCCUACGGGCGGCAGCAGUGAGGAAUAUAGGUCCAUGGACGAGAGUCUGAACCGGCCAAGUAGCGUGCAGGAUGACCGCCUUAUGGAUUGUAGACUGCUUUUAUAAGGGAGUAUAGUGAGUCUCGGGAGACUUUUUGCAUGUACCUUAUGAAUAAGGACCGGCUAAUUACGUG
This 492-nucleotide ribosomal RNA is filed under the name uncultured bacterium. RNAcentral's name for it is "partial 16S ribosomal RNA". It matches the Rfam family "Bacterial small subunit ribosomal RNA", at positions 28 to 507 of the family's 1533-position model. The record is from RNAcentral.